CAAGAAAUGAGUGCUGAAUAAGGAGGUAGUACUUGUUGUCCUAAAAAUGUGUGGUUAAAAUUAAAUUUUGAUUUUGAAAAUUAACAUUUUAGAAAUAAAAAUGAAAUCCAAACAUAGGCUUAACCAAUAUUAUGCUCUUUUUCUUUGUUGAUGUAGCAAUUGAUGGAUAGAGACACGAGUUUCAAAAUGAUAUGCAUUGGGUAUACAUGUUCAGUUUCUUGGAGAUUGGCUGAUGUUUUUCUUUUGAAAAUUUCAGUUACCAUGACAAUGCUUUUGUUUCCUCCCGUGCAUUGCAUAUAGUCAACAAGUUAAAUUCUUCAGCCACCUACGAUUUAUUGGAGGCGUUUUUCCAGCACCAGGUGAGAUUGAUUUUGUAUUAGAAGUGUAUAGAUCUCUUGCUGAAAGGGCUAAACAGACCUUGCAUGAACUCUACCUCUCUACAAUGACAAGCUGAUGCAGUUCUUCACCUCUUCUAUGUGGUUUAGGCAUGGCUACUUCUUUGCUUUUUUCUGUGGCUACUUUGCUUUUUCUUGCUUUGGUUGGCUCUCUCUGGCAUCUGGAAUUUGAUCUAUUGUAAAUUAGUUUUUCAUGUUGAGUUCUAUUAAUUUGUGAUUUAAGAGUUCUAUUCUGUUCUCAUUUUUUAUGCAUCAAUGACUUUGUGCUUCCGUCAACCGUUCAAUGAAUAUGCCAUACUUUUCUGUUACAGUGCACUGUAAUUUUUUAAUUUAGUAUUUGUUUGGAAGAUUUUUUUAAAGUUAUGCUCUUCAAAAUUACUUUCAAUUAUACAUUCUAGAAACAUAUUAUUUUUCACUUGAAAAAAUCUCUCAUAAACAAAUGUUUUAUAAAUAAAUAGCAAUAAGAUUUAAACUCAAAACAUAAUAUUAAGGACAUGUUUGUUAGAUCUUCUGUUUAUGGUCAAACUAUUUUUUAAAAAAGUUACUUUAAAUAACUUUCUUUCGAUAGACUUUCUAGCAAGAAAAAAUGCAUUUAAAAAUUUAUUCAAAUAUAUUCAAAAGUAAUUUUCUUAAUUUUAAAUAUAACUUUUUGACUUUUAUUUAUUUAAGUUAACCCUCACUAACUUCAAUUAGGCAACAGUCGUUUAUAUUUAUGUAAUUACUAGUGCCUUCUCCUCCCGCCAAUUGGUCAACUGUCUGUCUUAACUUCCCAAGGGACUCAGAGCAUAAACUAUUCACCAAAUUCCAAUUUCAAUCAAAUAGCAAAGUUCUUUCAAUUGACAUCCUCCAAAAGAAAAAAAAAAUUAGAAAAACCAAAAUUCAGAUUUCGAACAUGGGUUUUAAGAACACUCUCAGAUUUUUAGCGUUCUUGUGCUUUCGUAUGUGUUUCUUUGUUUCGAUCGAUGCUCAGGUUCCAAUUCCACCAAAGCUAGAUGGGUUCUGGUACGAGAACCGACCGUCGGAGGCUGACUCGAUAUUCAUCGAGGCGUUUUUUGACCCAGUUUGCCCCGACAGCAGGGAUUCAUGGCCGGGUCUUAAACAAGCCCUCCACCACUAUGGCUCUCGCGUUACACUCCUUGUCCACACCUUCCCUUUACCGUAAGUUUGUACUUUUUAUUUCUGGAAAUAAAAUGAUUAGCUCAGUUUAUUUACAUAAAUGUUCGAUUCUUGAAUCUUGAUGGCGUUUUACUUUCUUGUUCAGUAUGCAAUUGAUGGGCAGUAAUUAUUUUGAUCUGUUUAUGUUAACUGUGUUUUGUAAUGGAGUAUUUCUUGGGAACCCUUUAAAUUUUAGAAAAUUUAACAAAUAUGUGAAUUAUUCUGCCAUACAUGUAUUUGUGUCAUCUAUUAUACAUAGUUAUACGAAGUAAUUUUAGGGGCGCAUUUUUGUGUACUUUGCAUAUUUUCUUAUUGCUUUUCAGAUUGUUAUCGCUUUUGAUAGUAUUGGGGCUUAAAUUGUAACAUUCUCGUGAUUAAAUUACCGUAAUUUCUUGGUUGCAUAAGAGUUUUGUUGAUAUUAAAUGUCCUUGCACACCAUUCAUGUAAAGAUUACAAUCACUGGAUGAGAUCAUUCAGAGAAUUGGAUUGUUUUUUUGUGAAUAAUGUAGAAGUAGUAGGUGAAGUUGUUAAGGAAUGGAAAAAAUGCACUUCUCCUCCAACUUGGCCUCUGUUCGGGGGUUUCAUUUUUUCAUUAAUAAUUUACUUUUCAAGAAAUGAGUGCUGAAUAAGGAGGUAGUACUUGUUGUCCUAAAAAUGUGUGGUUAAAAUUAAAUUUUGAUUUUGAAAAUUAACAUUUUAGAAAUAAAAAUGAAAUCCAAACAUAGGCUUAACCAAUAUUAUGCUCUUUUUCUUUGUUGAUGUAGCAAUUGAUGGAUAGAGACACGAGUUUCAAAAUGAUAUGCAUUGGGUAUACAUGUUCAGUUUCUUGGAGAUUGGCUGAUGUUUUUCUUUUGAAAAUUUCAGUUACCAUGACAAUGCUUUUGUUUCCUCCCGUGCAUUGCAUAUAGUCAACAAGUUAAAUUCUUCAGCCACCUACGAUUUAUUGGAGGCGUUUUUCCAGCACCAGGUGAGAUUGAUUUUGUAUUAGAAGUGUAUAGAUCUCUUGCUGAAAGGGCUAAACAGACCUUGCAUGAACUCUACCUCUCUACAAUGACAAGCUGAUGCAGUUCUUCACCUCUUCUAUGUGGUUUAGGCAUGGCUACUUCUUUGCUUUUUUCUGUGGCUACUUUGCUUUUUCUUGCUUUGGUUGGCUCUCUCUGGCAUCUGGAAUUUGAUCUAUUGUAAAUUAGUUUUUCAUGUUGAGUUCUAUUAAUUUGUGAUUUAAGAGUUCUAUUCUGUUCUCAUUUUUUAUGCAUCAAUGACUUUGUGCUUCCGUCAACCGUUCAAUGAAUAUGCCAUACUUUUCUGUUACAGUGCACUGUAAUUUCUAUCAUGAUGUCCUUUGAUUACUACCUGAUAUUGUACCAUAUUUCAUGGUAGCUUGAGCAUUGCCUUUGUUUCUUGAAAAUAUUUCUCAAUUUCCUUAAAUCACUUCUACUUCCACUACUUCAGAAACAAGGAAUCCUAAAUACAUAACUCUUGGCCUAUGGAUUGAAUUUAAAGGAGAGUUAAAUUCUACAAGAGGGUAUCUUAAAUGUGUGUUGUAGUUUGUGGAAUUUUUAUAUGUUGGCCUCCAAGGACGUAUGCAUACACGCCAUGUAACGAGCUGCGAUGUACAAGGAUGAAUUAAAAAAUUGUUCAUUCUGAGUUUUCUCACUACUCUCAAAUGCUCUCUUAUUGAACUUUUGGGAUAGUAAUUAGUAUCUUGAAUUCUCCACAAAGUAUUGAGUUAAACCAAUUGAUCUAGAAUAUAUGGCCACAUGUGGAUCAUUAAAAUAAUUUUUAAAAUGCACUCAUGUGUAGGGUUCAUCUUUACAACCAGAACCUAACACGUGCACGAUUUACUUGAACUCAGAAUCUUUAUGUGUUGUGAUACCAUACUAAAUCACUUGAUCUAAAGUCUCACACAAUGGUUCAUGUCCCUUGAUUUAUGACUUUGUUGGGUCGUAUGCUUCUAGAACAACACACAUUUUAUCAGGAUAACAUAACAUUUCAUAGUGAACAUGAUUAUAUUUCAAUGACUUUAGCUUUACUAAUGUAUGCACCCUAUCUUUGUGAUGUAAUUGUACAUUAUAAUCCUUGCACAUUAUUAUUACAGUGUCACCUAAUUAUUAUAUUAUUAAAUUUUAUUGGUUUGGAAGCUGAAAUUCUGAGAUUGUUGAACAGGAA
This 3719-nucleotide long non-coding RNA is filed under the name Olea europaea (common olive). Its description in RNAcentral is "long non-coding RNA (OEUR_LNC014251)". Lineage: Eukaryota; Viridiplantae; Streptophyta; Magnoliopsida; Lamiales; Oleaceae. The record is from RNAcentral.